RNAcentral lists this ribosomal RNA (420 nucleotides) under Fusobacteriota bacterium. RNAcentral describes it as "Fusobacteria bacterium partial 16S ribosomal RNA". It matches the Rfam family "Bacterial small subunit ribosomal RNA", at positions 355 to 776 of the family's 1533-position model. The record is from RNAcentral. Lineage: Bacteria; Fusobacteriati; Fusobacteriota.
UGGGGGAUAUUGCACAAUGGGCGAAAGCCUGAUGCAGCGACGCCGCGUGGGGGAUGAAGGCCUUCGGGUUGUAAACUUCUUUUGCGCUGAACAAGGCAUGCCUUUGGGGUGUGUUGAGUGUAGGGGUUGAUUAGCGCCGGCUAACUACGUGCCAGCAGCCGCGGUAAUACGUAGGGCGCGAGCGUUGUCCGGAAUUAUUGGGCGUAAAGGGCUUGUAGGUGGCUGGUUGCGUCUGUCGUGAAAGCUCAUGGCUUAACUGUGGGUUUGCGGUGGGUACGGGCUGGCUUGAGUGCAGUAGGGGAGGCUGGAAUUCCUGGUGUAGCGGUGGAAUGCGCAGAUAUCAGGAGGAAUACCGGUGGCGAAGGCGGGUCUCUGGGCUGUUACUGACGCUGAGGAGCGAAAGCGUGGGGAGCGAACAGG